RNAcentral lists this ribosomal RNA (600 nucleotides) under uncultured archaeon. RNAcentral describes it as "bacterial SSU rRNA". It matches the Rfam family "Archaeal small subunit ribosomal RNA", at positions 156 to 760 of the family's 1478-position model. The record is from RNAcentral.
AGUCCACCGGCGCUGGAAUGCCCAAUGGACGAAAGGCUUGCCGCCUUAGGAUGGCUCUGCGACCUAUCAGGUUGUAGGGAGGGUAACGGCCUCCCUAGCCUACGACGGGUACGGGCGUUGAGAGACGUCGCCCGGAGAUGAACUCUGAGACACGAGUUCAGGCCCUACGGGGCGCAGCAGGCGCGAAAACUGCACAAUGCUGGAAACAGCGAUGCGGGAAUUCCAAGUGCCAGCACUGAGUGUUGGCUGUUCCAUUGUCUAAAAAACAUUUUUAAGUAAGGGCUGGGUAAGACGGGUGCCAGCCGCCGCGGUAAUACCUGCAGCCCGAGUGGUGGCCGUUAUUAUUGGGCCUAAAACGUCCGUAGCCUGUUUGGUAGAUGCCUGUGUAAAUCGAACGGCUUAACCGUUCGAACUGCGGGUAGACCGCCAGACUUGGGACCGGGAGAGUCACGAAGUACUCCGGGGGUAGAGGUGAAAUUCUGUAAUCCUCGGGGGACUACCGGUGGCGAAGGCGUCGUGAUAGAACGGCUCCGACGGUGAGGGACGAAGCCCUGGGGCGCAAACCGGAUUAGAUACCCCGGGUAGUCCAGGUGUAAACGC